Molecule: long non-coding RNA, 647 nt
Filed under: Olea europaea subsp. europaea
Lineage: Eukaryota; Viridiplantae; Streptophyta; Magnoliopsida; Lamiales; Oleaceae
Source: RNAcentral
AUAAGAUUCAAAAUUGUAGAGAGAAAACAUAUUAUUUUCUUGUUGUCCAAAAUUCAAAAAUUAGUUUCUGGAUUAAUUGAAAGAAGGUGCCCACAUAUCGAUGUAGUCUUUACGUUGAAGAAUACCAUAGAAGGCUUGAAAGUUCGAAGCAUCAAAAUUCUUGCAAUUAAAGAAAACGAAAGUUCGCGGAUCAGAGUUAAUUCAAGGUUGAUCGUUGAACUUAGGUAAAAGAUUCGAAUCCUUUAAUUUUGUUAUAACAUACACGUGAACAUCUAGACGAUCUUGCUUAUUGAAUUAAAAAAAAUUUUAAUUUUUGAUUAAUUCAACUUCCGCAUUCCAACACAAAGGAGUCACAAGGUUGCACUUAUCGUUUUUCAAUAACAUACAAAAGCAAGAAUCUUAUGAAUGCACAUUGGAACUCCCACUGUUGUAUCAAUUAUUAAUGUUUUUCUUUGUGACAAUUUGGUCGGUCUACUUUAGUGAUGACAAUUUACCUUGCUCCGCCCCGCCCCGCAUGGGGCAAAAAAAUCCGCCCCGUGCCCCGGGCAUAGAUGGUCGCCCCGUCGCGGGGCGCGGAUGCCCCGCCCCAAACCCGCCCCGUGAAUUAUUUUUUUUUUUUUUAAUACUUGGAAAUAUGAAGAUAGAAA